RNAcentral lists this ribosomal RNA (253 nucleotides) under uncultured bacterium. RNAcentral's name for it is "partial 16S ribosomal RNA". It matches the Rfam family "Bacterial small subunit ribosomal RNA", at positions 524 to 776 of the family's 1533-position model. The record is from RNAcentral.
UACGCAGGGUGCGAGCGUUAAUCGGAAUUACUGGGCGUAAAGCGUGCGUAGGCGGUUCGCUGUGUCCGAUGUGAAAGCCCCGGGCUUAACCUGGGAAUGGCAUUGGAAACUGGCGGGCUUGAGUGCGGCAGAGGGGGGUGGAAUUCCGCGUGUAGCAGUGAAAUGCGUAGAGAUGCGGAGGAACACCGAUGGCGAAGGCAGCCCCCUGGGUCGACACUGACGCUCAGGCACGAAAGCGUGGGGAGCAAACAGG